UGACCUCAAAUCAAGUAAGGAUACCCGCUGAACUUAAGCAUAUCAAUAAGCGGAGGAAAAGAAACCAACAGGGAUUGCCUCAGUAACGGCGAGUGAAGCGGCAAAAGCUCAAAUUUGAAAUCUGACGUCUUCGGCGUCCGAGUUGUAAUUUGAAGAUGUUUUCUCCGAGCAGUCCUUUAUCUAUGUUCCUUGGAACAGGACGUCAUAGAGGGUGAGAAUCCCGUAUGAUUUGGGCUCCUGCUCUUUUGUGAGUUUUCAUCGAAGAGUCGAGUUGUUUGGGAAUGCAGCUCUAAGUGGGUGGUAAAUUCCAUCUAAAGCUAAAUAUUGGCGAGAGACCGAUAGCGAACAAGUACAGUGAUGGAAAGAUGAAAAGAACUCUGAAGAGAGAGUGAAAAAGUACGUGAAAUUGCUGAAAGGGAAGGGCUUGAGGUCAGACUUGGUGUUUUACGAUUAUCUUCCCCUUGUGGGUUGUGCACUCGUUUCUCACUGGGCCAACAUCAGUUUUUCUUGCGGAGCACGCUUAGGAAUGUGGCUCUCUUCGGAGAGUGUUAUAGCCUUUGUACGAUUCGCUUGGGAGACUGAGGACUGCGCUUUAUGCUAGGAUGUUGGCGUAAUGACCUUAAGCCGCCCGUCUUGAAACACGGACCAAGGAGUCUAACGUCUAUGCGAGUGUUUGGGUGUUAAACCCGUACGCGUAAUGAAAGUGAACGUAGGUUGGGGCCUUCGGGUGCACAAUCGACCGAUCCUGAUGUUUUCAGA
RNAcentral lists this ribosomal RNA (759 nucleotides) under Saccharomycopsis synnaedendra. Its description in RNAcentral is "LSU rRNA". It matches the Rfam family "Eukaryotic large subunit ribosomal RNA", at positions 1 to 784 of the family's 3401-position model. The record is from RNAcentral. Lineage: Eukaryota; Fungi; Ascomycota; Saccharomycetes; Ascoideales; Saccharomycopsidaceae.